RNAcentral lists this ribosomal RNA (116 nucleotides) under Candidatus Woesearchaeota archaeon. The record is from RNAcentral. Lineage: Archaea; Nanobdellati; Candidatus Woesearchaeota.
UAGGACGGUCAAAGCGACCUGGUUAUACCCGAACUCGUCUCGAUCUCGGAAGUCAAGCAGGCCCACGUUUUGAGUUGUACUGUAUUUUAUACGGGAACCUCAAAAAGCUGUCCACU